AAUAGAUACCCUGGUAGUCCACGCCGUAAACGAUGAGUGCUAAGUGUUAGAGGGUUUCCGCCCUUUAGUGCUGCAGCUGACGCAUUAAGCACUCCGCCUGGGGAGUACGGCCGCAAGGCUGAAACUCAAAGGAAUUGACGGGGGCCCGCACAAGCGGUGGAGCAUGUGGUUUAAUUCGAAGCAACGCGAAGAACCUUACCAGGUCUUGACAUCCUCUGCCAACCCUAGAGAUAGGGCGUUCCCCUUCGGGGGACAGAGUGACAGGUGGUGCAUGGUUGUCGUCAGCUCGUGUCGUGAGAUGUUGGGUUAAGUCCCGCAACGAGCGCAACCCUUGAUCUUAGUUGCCAGCAUUCAGUUGGGCACUCUAAGGUGACUGCCGGUGACAAACCGGAGGAAGGUGGGGAUGACGUCAAAUCAUCAUGCCCCUUAUGACCUGGGCUACACACGUGCUACAAUGGAUGGUACAAAGAGCUGCGAACCCGCGAGGGUAAGCGAAUCUCAUAAAGCCAUUCUCAGUUCGGAUUGU
This 526-nucleotide ribosomal RNA is filed under the name uncultured bacterium. RNAcentral describes it as "bacterial SSU rRNA". It matches the Rfam family "Bacterial small subunit ribosomal RNA", at positions 777 to 1301 of the family's 1533-position model. The record is from RNAcentral.